This 379-nucleotide unclassified non-coding RNA is filed under the name uncultured Gammaproteobacteria bacterium. RNAcentral describes it as "contains 16S-23S intergenic spacer region". Lineage: Bacteria; Pseudomonadati; Pseudomonadota; Gammaproteobacteria. The record is from RNAcentral.
UCCCCGUUAUCCGGGGCGGUUUCACUAGAGUGCCCAGCUUGACCUGAUGGCAACUAGGGAUAAGGGUUGCGCUCGUUGCGGGACUUAACCCAACAUCUCACGACACGAGCUGACGACAGCCAUGCAGCACCUGUGUCUAGGUUCCCCUUCGGGCACACUCACAUCUCUGCGAGCUUCCGACCAUGUCAAGGGUAGGUAAGGUUUUUCGCGUUGCAUCGAAUUAAUCCACAUCAUCCACCGCUUGUGCGGGUCCCCGUCAAUUCCUUUGAGUUUUAACCUUGCGGCCGUACUCCCCAGGCGGGCAACUUCACGCGUUAGCUACGGUACUGAGAAAUCGCUUCCCCAACACCCAGUUGCCAUCGUUUAGGGCGUGGACUAC